GAUGAACGCUGGCGGCGUGCCUAAUACAUGCAAGUAGAACGCUGAAGGAAGGAGCUUGCUCUUUCCGGAUGAGUUGCGCACGGGUGAGUAACGCGUAUGUAACCUGCCUGGUAGCGGGGGAUAACUAUUGGAAACGAUAGCUAAUACCGCAUAACAGUCGAUUUUGCAUGAUAUCUACUUAAAAUUCGCAAUUGCACCACUACCAGAUGGACCUGCGUCGUAUUAGCUAGUUGGUGAGGUAACGGCUCACCAAGGCGAGGAUACAUAGCCGACCUGAUAGGGCGAUCGGCCACACUGGGACGGAGACACGGCCCAGACUGCUACGGGAGGCAGCAGUAGGGAAACUGGGGGAAGAGGCGGAAGACUGACCGAGCAACGCCGCGGGAGUGAAGAAGGGUGUCGGAUCGUAAAGCACUGUUGUAAGAGUAGAACGAGUGUGAGAGUGGAAAGUUCACACUGUGACGGUAACUGAUCAGAAAGGGACGGCUAACUACGUG
Molecule: ribosomal RNA, 497 nt
Filed under: uncultured bacterium
Lineage: Bacteria
Description: partial 16S ribosomal RNA
Rfam family: Bacterial small subunit ribosomal RNA
Source: RNAcentral